This 450-nucleotide ribosomal RNA is filed under the name uncultured bacterium. Its description in RNAcentral is "partial 16S ribosomal RNA". It matches the Rfam family "Bacterial small subunit ribosomal RNA", at positions 29 to 523 of the family's 1533-position model. The record is from RNAcentral.
AACGAACGCUGGCGGCAGGCCUAAUACAUGCAAGUCGAACGGAUGUAGCAAUACAUUAGUGGCGCACGGGUGCCUAACGCGUGGGAACAUACCCUUGAGUAAGGAAUAAUGUCUGGAAACGGACACUAAUACCUUAUAAUGACUUCGGUCCAAAGAUUCAUCGCUCAAGGAUUGGCCCGCGUCUGAUUAGCUAGUUGGUGAGGUAACGGCUCACCAAGGCGACGAUCAGUAGCUGGUCUGAGAGGAUGAUCAGCCACACUGGGACUGAGACACGGCCCAAACUCCUACGGGAGGCAGCAGUAAGGAAUAUUGGACAAUGGGGGAAACCCUGAUCCAGCCAUGCCGCGUGAGUGAAGAAGGCCUUAGGGUUGUAAAGCUCUUUCAAUAGUGAAGAUAAUGACGGUAGCUAUAGAAGAACCCCGGCUAAAUUCGUGCCAGCCGCCGCAGUAA